GAUGAACGCUGGCGGCGUGCCUAAUACAUGCAAGUCGAGCGAACGGACGAGAAGCUUGCUUCUCUGAUGUUAGCGGCGGACGGGUGAGUAACACGUGGAUAACCUAUCUAUAAGACUGGGAUAACUUCGGGAAACCGUAGCUAAUACCGGAUAAUAUUUUGAACCGCAUGGUUCAAAAGUGAAAGACGGUCUUGCUGUCGCUUAUAGAUGGAUCCGCGCUGCAUUAGCUAGUUGGUAAGGUAACGGCUUACCAAGGCAACGAUGCAUAGCCGACCUGAGAGGGUGAUCGGCCACACUUGAACUGAGACACGGUCCAGACUCCUACGGGAGGCAGCAGUAGGGAAUCUUCCGCAAUGGGCGAAAGCCUGACGGAGCAACGCCGCGUGAGUGAUGAAGGUCUUCGGAUCGUAAAACUCUGUUAUUAGGGAAGAACAUAUGUGUAAGUAACUGUGCACAUCUUGACGGUACCUAAUCAGAAAGCCACGGCUAACUACGUG
RNAcentral lists this ribosomal RNA (497 nucleotides) under uncultured bacterium. RNAcentral's name for it is "partial 16S ribosomal RNA". It matches the Rfam family "Bacterial small subunit ribosomal RNA", at positions 28 to 507 of the family's 1533-position model. The record is from RNAcentral.